ACAACACUCAUCAAUAACAAAGUUAGCAAGCCGAGGUCUUUGAGGGUUAACAGAAAUGGCUAUGGCGUCCUGGCGUGGUUCAUACAAGGAAUACGACAUCAGAAAACGGAACCCAAACCCUAAAACUUCGGUUCUCUUAGUAAUCGAUAUGCAGAAUUACUUCUCCUCCAUAGCCAAACCCAUAAUCCCCGCCAUCACCACCACUAUCGCCCUCUGCCGACGAGCCUCCAUCCCAGUAAUCUUCACGCGCCACUCCCACAAGUCCCCCGCCGACCACGCCAUGCUCGGCGAGUGGUGGGGCGGCGACCUUAUUCUGGACGGGACGACAGAGGCCGAGCUGAUGUCGGAGAUCGGGCGAAUGCCCACCGACAAGGUGGUGGAGAAGACCACAUACAGCGCGUUCAGGGGCACGCGCCUUGAGGAGUACUUGGCGGAGAGGAGCGUGGAGGAGGUCAUCGUGUCGGGGGUGAUGACGAACCUGUGCUGCGAGACGACGGCGCGUGAAGCGUUUGUGAGGGGCUUUAGGGUGUUCUUCUCCACGGACGCCACGGCGACGGCGACGCCGGAGAUGCAUGAGGCGACGCUGAUGAAUAUGGCUUAUGGAUUUGCGUAUCUGGUGGACCGUGAUCGCCUGGACAAGGGCCUGUUUGGGAAUUAGUAGUAGAUAUCAAGGAAACAGAGAAGAAUAUACAUGAAAAUGAAGAUCAUGAGAUUUUCAAGAAUUGAGGCAGACCUAAAACGGGAAGGAAGAAAGAAUGUUUGGCUAUGGAGAGUUGGGCAAUGCCAAUAUAGAACGUUCAGGGAUUCUGGGUGACCAUGAGAUGAAAACGUUUACGGAACAGGAGUUUGACCAU
Vitis riparia (riverbank grape) is the source of this 854-nucleotide RNA transcript. It is a transcript of the gene named nicotinamidase 2-like, with no coding region annotated. The transcript is spliced from 3 exons. Lineage: Eukaryota; Viridiplantae; Streptophyta; Magnoliopsida; Vitales; Vitaceae. The record is from RefSeq and is a predicted model, not a curated record.